Molecule: ribosomal RNA, 468 nt
Filed under: uncultured bacterium
Lineage: Bacteria
Description: partial 16S ribosomal RNA
Rfam family: Bacterial small subunit ribosomal RNA
Source: RNAcentral
GACGAACGCUGGCGGUGUGCUUAACACAUGCAAGUCGAACGGUAAGGCCCUUUCGGGGGUACACGAGUGGCGAACGGGUGCGUAACACGUGAGUAACCUGCCCUCAUCUCUGGGAUAACAGUCGGAAACGGUUGCUAAUACUGGAUAUGAGCUUGCAAGGCAUCUUGUGGGUUGGAAAGAUUUUUUUUGGUUGGGGAUGGACUCGCGGCCUAUCAGCUUGUUGGUGAGGUAGUGGCUCACCAAGGCUUCGACGGGUAGCCGGCCUGAGAGGGCGACCGGCCACAUUGGGACUGAGAGACGGACCAAACUCCUACGGGAGGCAGCAGUGGGGAAUAUUGCACAAUGGACGGAAGUCUGAUGCAGCAACGCCGCGUGCGGGAUGACGGCCUUCGGGUUGUAAACCGCUUUCAAUUGUGACGAAGCUUUUUUGUGACGGUAGCAGUAGAAGAAGCACCGGCUAACUACGUG